Molecule: ribosomal RNA, 478 nt
Filed under: uncultured bacterium
Lineage: Bacteria
Description: partial 16S ribosomal RNA
Rfam family: Bacterial small subunit ribosomal RNA
Source: RNAcentral
GAUGAACGCUGGCGGCGUGCUUAACACAUGCAAGUCGAACGAGAAAUGUAGACGGAAACCUUCGGGCGGACGCCUUCAUUUCGAGUGGCGGACGGGUGAGUAACGCGUGGGUAACCUGCCUCAUACAGGGGGAUAACAGUUGGAAACGACUGUUAAUACCGCAUAAGACCACAGCAUCGCAUGAUGCGGGGGUAAAAACUCCGGUGGUAUGAGAUGGACCCGCGUUCGAUUAGCCAGUUGGCUGGGUAACGGCCCACCAAAGCGACGAUCGAUAGCCGAUCUGAGAGGAUGACCGGACACAUUGGGACUGAGACACGGCCCAAACUCCUACGGGAGGCAGCAGUGGGGAAUAUUGCACAAUGGGGGAAACCCUGAUGCAGCGACGCCGCGUGAGUGAAGAAGUACUUCGGUAUGUAAAGCUCUAUCAGCAGGGAAGAAAAUGACGGUACCUGAGUAAGAAGCCCCGGCUAACUACGUG